This 540-nucleotide long non-coding RNA is filed under the name Salmo salar (Atlantic salmon). RNAcentral's name for it is "lncRNA (ENSSSAG00000102106.1)". The record is from RNAcentral. Lineage: Eukaryota; Metazoa; Chordata; Actinopteri; Salmoniformes; Salmonidae.
GAGUAGAUUACUGAGUAGUUUGGUUCAUCAGGCUGACCUCCAGUCUUCAUGGAGGAGAUUACUGAGUAGUUUGGUUCAUCAGGCUGACCUCCAGUCUUCAUGGAGGAGAUUACUGAGUAGUUUGGUUCAUCAGGCUGACCUCCAGUCUUCAUGGAGAUUACUGAGUAGUUUGGUUCAUCAGGCUGACCCCCAGUCUUCAUGGAGGAGAUUACUGAGUAGUUUGGUUCAUCAGGCUGACCUCCAGUCUUCAUGGAGGAGAUUACUGAGUAGUUUGGUUCAUCAGGCUGACCUCCAGUCUUCAUGGAGGAGAUUACUGAGUAGUUUGGUUCAUCAGGCUGACCUCCAGUCUUCAUGGAGGAGAUUACUGAGUAGUUUGGUUCAUCAGGCUGAUCCCCAGUCUUCAUGGAGGAGAUUACUGAGUAGUUUGGUUCAUCAGGCUGAUCCCCAGUCUUCAUGGAGGAGAUUACUGAGUAGUUUGGUUCAUCAGGCUGAUCCCCAGUCUUCAUGGAGGAGAUUACUGAGUAGUUUGGUUCAUCAGGC